This 254-nucleotide ribosomal RNA is filed under the name uncultured bacterium. RNAcentral describes it as "partial 16S ribosomal RNA". It matches the Rfam family "Bacterial small subunit ribosomal RNA", at positions 524 to 776 of the family's 1533-position model. The record is from RNAcentral.
CACGUAGGGUGCGAGCGUUGUCCGGAAUUAUUGGGCGUAAAGAGAUCGUAGGCGGUGUGUCGCGUCGGCCGUGAAAACCUGCAGCUUAACUGUGGGCGUGCGGUCGAUACGGGCAUCACUGGAGUUCGGCAGGGGAGACUGGAAUUCCUGGUGUAGCGGUGAAAUGCGCAGAUAUCAGGAGGAACACCGGUGGCGAAGGCGGGUCUCUGGGCCGAUAAUGACGCUGAGGAGCGAAAGCGUGGGGAGCGAACAGG